CAGUAGCCGCGGGAAAACGGAGGGGGCUAGCGUUGUUCGGAAUUACUGGGCGUAAAGCGCACGUAGGCGGCUUGGUAAGUUAGAGGUGAAAGCCCGGAGCUCAACUCCGGAAUUGCCUUUAAGACUGCCGAGCUAGCAGGUGAGAGAGGUAAGUGGAAUUCCGAGUGUAGAGGUGAAAUUCGUAGAUAUUCGGAAGAACACCAGUGGCGAAGGCGGCUUACUGGCUCAUACUGGACGCUGAGGUGCGAAAGCGUGGGGAGCAAACAGGAUUAGAUACCCGUGUAGUCCCUGUCUCUUAUAC
RNAcentral lists this ribosomal RNA (301 nucleotides) under uncultured bacterium. RNAcentral's name for it is "partial 16S ribosomal RNA". It matches the Rfam family "Bacterial small subunit ribosomal RNA", at positions 509 to 807 of the family's 1533-position model. The record is from RNAcentral.